RNAcentral lists this ribosomal RNA (400 nucleotides) under uncultured Glomeromycotina. Its description in RNAcentral is "SSU rRNA". It matches the Rfam family "Eukaryotic small subunit ribosomal RNA", at positions 569 to 973 of the family's 1831-position model. Lineage: Eukaryota; Fungi; Glomeromycota. The record is from RNAcentral.
AGCAGCCGCGGUAAAUUCCAGCUCCAAUAGCGUAUAUUAAAGUUGUUGCAGUUAAAAAGCUCGUAGUUGAAUUUCGGGGCCAGUUGGUUGGUUGUGCCUAUGGUAUGUACUGGCCUACUGGUUCCUCCUUCUUGAAGAACCGUAAUGUCGUUAAUUUGGUGUUGCGGGGAAACAGGACUGUUACUUUGAAAAAAUUAGAGUGCUUAAAGCAGGCUAACGCUUGUAUACAUUAGCAUGGAAUAAUGAAAUAGGACGUUUGAUCUUAUUUUGUUGGUUUUUAGGAUUGACGUAAUGAUUAAUAGGGAUAGUUGGGGGCAUUAGUAUUCAAUUGUCAGAGGUGAAAUUCUUGGAUUUAUUGAAGACUAACUACUGCGAAAGCAUUUGCCAAGGAUGUUUUCAU